Salvia miltiorrhiza (redroot sage) is the source of this 1567-nucleotide long non-coding RNA. RefSeq lists it as uncharacterized. NCBI's taxonomy places the organism in Eukaryota, Viridiplantae, Streptophyta, Magnoliopsida, Lamiales, Lamiaceae. The transcript is spliced from 2 exons. The record is from RefSeq and is a predicted model, not a curated record.
UGGCCGCGACGCCGAUGGAUGGCGGCGGUUUUCGCUGCUGCUCACCGGAAUAGAAGGGGGUAGCAUCUGGUCUGGGCUGGGGAUUUGUUGAGGUCAGGACGGUGGCGGCCUGGGAGUCACCGGUCGGCGGCAGCUUUUGUUGUUGCGUCGCCGGAGUCGGGGAAGAGAGCGGCUUCCGCUGCUCGUUGGCGGAAGUUAGAGAGAGAGGAGGCCGCUGCACGGCGGCUCUGCCCGCUGAUGUCGGGCGGUGACCGUGACGGCGGUUGCUGCCGCCGAGAGAGAGGGAGAAGAGGAGGGGCGUCGGGAGAGGCAGAGAGCGAGAGAGAGUGAGCGGCUGAGAGGGAGAGUUCUGGGGGGGGGUGUCAGGCGGCAGCGGCGGCGCGGUGUCGCCGGCGGUCGCUGCUGCAGCGUGUGUGUGUGUGCGUGGGGAGUGACUGUGAGUGUGAGAGAGACGAAAUGGGGGGAUGGCGCAGCUGCGUGAGUUGAAUUGUGUGUGUUUGUGUGUGUGCGUGUUGACUGUGUGUGUUUAGGGGGGGAAAUAGGGUUUGUGUUGGGCUUGGGGUUUUGGGCUCCUAUUUUGGGCCGAGUUAAAUCAUUUGGGCCGAUUUUAAUAAAUGUUUGGGCUUGUUUUUAUUUUUUUUUAUUGGGCCAUGUCUAUUUAUUUAGUUGGGCCUUUAUUUUAUUUAAGGAUUUUGGGGUGCAGUUUUAAUUCGAAAGAGUUGGGCCCGAUUUAUUUAUAAUAAACUUGGGUAGCCCUUGUAUUUUGGGCUACGAAAUUUUAUAAAAAUGGGAGGGUGUCUUUGAUUUAAUUAAUUUAAAUGGGCUACCCAAUAUUUAUUAAUUAGUCUUAUAAUAAAGUUUGAUUAAUUAUUUUAAAGAUAAUUAGCAAAAUAAUAUUAUUAUUAUGAAGUGCAUAUUUUAAGUAAUUACUUAUAUGCUAAGCAUGACAUGAAAUUGCAUUAUAUUUUUGCAAUAAGAGUAUUUAUGAUUUAAUUGGUUUUAAUUAUAAUUCCAAUUUUUAAAGAAAAUCGAGUAAGGAUAUUGUUGGUGUCCUUAACUCAAGAAAUUUAGUUUUCAAUUAUUUAUUCAUUAAAUUUUUGAAAACCCGGCUAAGUGAAUCAUAGAAUAUUAAGCACUACACCAUGACUUAAGAUUAGCUUCACGAGACCUAUUAAGAAUAGAAUUUCUUGUAGGCUUUGUGACCAGGGGGAUUAGCGCUGCUUUCCCAAGACAGGUUUAUAUGUGAUUAUGAUCUUCAGGCUUUGCCUAACCAGGUUGGCUGGCCGGUGCUGACGGGACGGAGCUGAGGCUAGAGAUAAAUUCCUAUGUUAGACUUCCGCUGUAGCAAUUACUCUUAUACAUCUUUUGUUUUCUCAACUUAAGAUGACUUCAUUUGAGCUUCAAUUUAAAAUUUAUAGUUUUAUGUUAAUGAACGUCGGUUGUCAGAAGCAUGAAACAAAACUUGUGAUCCAAAGGGGCCUAGCCUGACUUUCUAUCCUAUUUCGGGUUUUAACAAGGUAUUUCCCUUGUUUAUUUCUAUGAAUUAUUCACACCUCGAUUAUAUUUA